CCUUAUUCCUAGACUGUUGGGACGAACACUUCCAAAAUCAAUCCCAAUCUUUCUUUUAUGGUCAUAAACCUUGUAUUUAAAUUUUGUAGAUUUCUAUUUACUUAUACUAAAGUUAUGGUGCGAAAACCAAGAAAAAUGCUUAUUUGGGCCCUUUUUGGCCCCUAAUUCCUAAACUGUUGGGAUCUCAACUCCCAAAAUCAAUCCCAACCUUCCUUUUGUGUUGAUAAACCUUGUGUUUAAAUUUCAAUGAUUUCUAUUUACUUAUACUAAAGUUAUUGUGCGAAAACCAAGAAAAAUGCUUAUUUGGGUCCUUUUUUGGCCCUUAAUUCCUAAACAGUUGGAACCAAAACACCCAAAAUCAAUCCCAACCUUCCUUUUGUGGUCAUAAACUUUGUGUCAAAAUAUCAUGGAUUUCUAUUUACUUAACCUAAAGUUAUAGUGCGAAAACCUAGAAAAUGCUUAUUUGGGCCCGUUUUGGCCCCUAAUUCCUAAACAGUUGGAACCAAAACACCAAAAAUCAAUCCCAACCUUCCUUUUAUGGUCAUAAACCUUGUGUUUAAAUUUCAUACAUUUCUAUUUACUUAAACUAAAGUUAUAGUGCAAAAACCAAAAGUAUUCGGACUAUGACGAUGACGACGACGCCAACUUUGGCG
RNAcentral lists this long non-coding RNA (653 nucleotides) under Mytilus galloprovincialis (Mediterranean mussel). Lineage: Eukaryota; Metazoa; Mollusca; Bivalvia; Mytilida; Mytilidae. The record is from RNAcentral.